CAAGUUCAUACAAAGCCAUGACACACCCGCAUAACAAUUGAGCCGCUAGCACUUAGCGACAAACACACACAAAGCCUAUCAUGCUUCAUCACUUGGGGGCAAAAGCGACAAAGCAGCUUCAACUUUCCAUGACGGACCAUUACUCAAAGCCACCAAAGAAAACGCCACCUACGCAUAACUGUCUCCAACAGACGGAAGGCAAACACGAGAGCCAUUCCAGGCUUUGGGUGGCGCACAGUGAAAUGGAUAACACCCCAAAUCUCUCCUUCUCCAACAGCUACCGCAAGCAGAACACCCAAACCCGCGCGCCGUACCAGCCGCUCGCAGCGGGCACGCCGCGCGCUACCUGCUCCGCCGCUCCCGCCGCCGCCGCGCCGGCUCCAGUGACCAUCAUCAGGGCAACAGCAGCGGCAGCAGCGUACGCGUGUCGGUGGAGGACCCGGAGAAGCCGCCCGUGGAGCUGGAAGCGCCCCCGCCACCGCCGUCCGCGUCAUGCCGGUCAUGGAGGAGCGGAUCCUGCCGGAGCAGGGGCCCGCGCCACGCGUCGGUGGUGGCCAGGGCGCCGCCUCGCGCCGUUGGUGGAUGGAGCUCGGAGCCGGGGCCGCCUGGAGCGCCGCUCGCCGUCCCGCCUGGAGCACCGCCCGGCUGGAUCUCGCCGUCCACUGAAAAUUGUAGUGAAGGUGGACUAUUCUUUUUUGGCGAAUAAUGCUGGGCUAGUUUUCUACUACUAGUAAAUAUCAACCGGGGAAAUAUACCGGCUGUAUAAUUGCUGGAAUCCUUUUUUGUACCAACGAAAAGGAUUCCACCAAUUAUACCAGCCCACCUUGGAGAACAUCCUGAACAUCGAAAAGAUCAAAAGCACUACAAAGACACCCAGCAAGGUUCAGCUCUCUUCCAGGAAAAAAUUCCCAUCAUUGUCACGAAGCCUUCAAGUGAAGUACUCACACUGCUAGAAAAAGCCACAUUCGUCCGCGGCCCACUAAUAUAAGGCAGCCAGACUUUACCAAAGAAUAUGAGAAGCAGAAGGCCUUCUGGGACGAGUUCAAGGCAUACAAGCUAUCAGAGGAGGCUAAGGCAUUGAGCGCUAAGAAUAAAGAGAACUCGGACAAGAACAGAAAUCCACAUCGUCUAGGCUCACGUGGCUACAUUCACCAGUUGCCAAAAUGGGACGCGCGACUUGCAGAAUUGGCAAAGGACGGUGUGACUCCCGUUACCAGCGAUUGGCAGCUCAGAGCGGUACAAUUCCUGCUGGCUAGAGGGGCAAAGUUCCAAGAUGAUGGUACACUUUCUGUACCAAAUACGGACGUGGGCCAAGGGGUGGGAACUAAACAUCCGAAUUUUCGAACAAAUUUGAUAUUUUAAAAUAGAUAUGCUUGAAAUUUUAUGCUAAUUUUUUUUAUAUUAUCAAACAUAUUAUUACACAUAAGAAUAAAAUUUUGUAUAGAUUUUUUUAUGCAUUAUUUGCUCCCUACAAUUAAAAAGGUGAAAAAACAUCCGUAUCCGUUUCUGAUCCGUAUCCGAAUUUUUAUAUCUAUUAUUUGAGAAUAUAUAUGAUAAAUUUGAUGUUUAUUUUUUAUGAAUCUUUACAAGAUCAAUGUUAAAUACAAGGCUAUGAAUUUACGUAGUAAAUUUUAUAUCUUAUUUGUCCAUAAUCGAAGAAAAAUGAUCAAAAAUCUGAGAUCCGAAUAGACAUCCGUUUCCAUAGUGGCUUUUAGAACUAGCCAUUACAGACCUUUUCGUUAGCAUAUUAACAUUCAGAUUGAAUUCAUAUAAUAACGUCCGUUGGAAAUAGUAGAACUCCAAAGAUGCUCAAGAUGGAAAACAACCGUCCACUGAAAAUUGUAGUGAAGGUGGACUAUUCUUUUUUGGCGAAUAAUGCUGGACUAGUAGAAAAUAUCAACUGGGGGAAUAUACCGGCUGUAUAAUUGCUGGAAUCCUUUUUUGUACCAACGAAAAGGAUUCCACCAAUUAUACCAGCCCACCUUGGAGAACAUCCUGAACAUCGAAAAGAUCAAAAGCACUACAAAGACACCCAGCAAGGUUCAGCUCUCUUCCAGGAAAAAAUUCCCAUCAUUGUCACGAAGCCUUCAAGUGAAGUACUCACACUGCUAGAAAAAGCCACAUUCGUCCGCGGCCCACUAAUAUAAGGCAGCCAGACUUUACCAAAGAAUAUGAGAAGCAGAAGGCCUUCUGGGACGAGUUCAAGGCAUACAAGCUAUCAGAGGAGGCUAAGGCAUUGAGCGCUAAGAAUAAAGAGAACUCGGACAAGAACAGAAAUCCACAUCGUCUAGGCUCACGUGGCUACAUUCACCAGUUGCCAAAAUGGGACGCGCGACUUGCAGAAUUGGCAAAGGACGGUGUGACUCCCGUUACCAGCGAUUGGCAGCUCAGAGCGGUACAAUUCCUGCUGGCUAGAGGGGCAAAGUUCCAAGAUGAUGGUACACUUUCUGUACCAAAUACGGACGUGGGCCAAGGGGUGGGAACUAAACAUCCGAAUUUUCGAACAAAUUUGAUAUUUUAAAAUAGAUAUGCUUGAAAUUUUAUGCUAAUUUUUUUUAUAUUAUCAAACAUAUUAUUACACAUAAGAAUAAAAUUUUGUAUAGAUUUUUUUAUGCAUUAUUUGCUCCCUACAAUUAAAAAGGUGAAAAAACAUCCGUAUCCGUUUCUGAUCCGUAUCCGAAUUUUUAUAUCUAUUAUUUGAGAAUAUAUAUGAUAAAUUUGAUGUU
This is a long non-coding RNA of Panicum virgatum (switchgrass), 2726 nucleotides long. RefSeq lists it as uncharacterized. Lineage: Eukaryota; Viridiplantae; Streptophyta; Magnoliopsida; Poales; Poaceae. The record is from RefSeq and is a predicted model, not a curated record. The transcript has 3 exons.